This 408-nucleotide ribosomal RNA is filed under the name uncultured bacterium. RNAcentral describes it as "partial 16S ribosomal RNA". It matches the Rfam family "Bacterial small subunit ribosomal RNA", at positions 29 to 526 of the family's 1533-position model. The record is from RNAcentral.
AGUGAACGCUGGCGGCGUGCCUAAUACAUGCAAGUCGAACGGAGUGGCGCACGGGUGAGUAAUGUAUAGCUAAUCUGCCCUACACUAGAGGGCAACAGUUGGAAACGGCUGCUAAUACUCUAUAGUGUAGGAUGAGGCUAUAUUGUAUCAGCUAGUUGGUGAGGUAAUGACUCACCAAGGCUAUGACGAAUCACUGGUCUGAUAGGAUGAUCAGUCACACUGGAACGGAGACUCGGUCCAGGCUCCUUCGGGAGGGAGCAGUAGGGAAUAUUGCUCAAUGGGGGAAACCCUGAAGCAGCAACGCGGCGUGGAGGAUGACACUUUUCGGGGCGUAAACUCCUUUUGUUAGGGAAGCGUUACCUAACGAAUAAGCACCGGCUAACUCCGUGCCAGCAGCCGCGGUAAUUC